RNAcentral lists this ribosomal RNA (320 nucleotides) under uncultured Nitzschia. RNAcentral describes it as "partial Bacterial large subunit ribosomal RNA". It matches the Rfam family "Bacterial large subunit ribosomal RNA", at positions 550 to 874 of the family's 2925-position model. Lineage: Eukaryota; Bacillariophyta; Bacillariophyceae; Bacillariales; Bacillariaceae. The record is from RNAcentral.
CUGAAACCGUGUGCAUACAAACAGUCGGAGCCUCUUCGUGGGGUGACGGCGUACCUUUUGUAUAAUGGGUCAGCGACUUACAUUCAGUGGCGAGGUUAACCGGAUAGGGGAGCCGUAGAGAAAUCGAGUCCGAACAGGGCGACAGUCGCUGGGUGUAGACCCGAAACCAAGUGAUCUACCCAUGGCCAGGAUGAAGGUGCGGUAACACGCCCUGGAGGUCCGAACCCACUAAUGUUGAAAAAUUAGGGGAUGAGCUGUGGGUAGGGGUGAAAGGCUAAACAAACUUGGAAAUAGCUGGUUCUCUCCGAAAACUAUUUAGG